UCACGCUUAAUUUAAAAGCAUGGCUGAGUUAGUGUACUGCUUCAAAUACCGCACUAUUUCUUCCAGUACCCUGUGGGAGAUUGGCAGGUCCCCGCUGGACUGAGAAAGUGCCACAAGACAAAAAUAUCAGAGUUUGGAAGUGAUGAAGAAAGCCUUUAUGCUCGCAGUAACAAAACAGAGCCUGUUUUGAAUGGCUCCUGGAAAGAAGAAGAGGCGCCCUUGAAUGUGGUAGUACGUGUCAUUGGAGGAACAGAUGGGAUAUCACGCGACACGGCUCUGCACAAACGGCCAAAUGCGUAUUUAAAAUGUAGAGAUUUGCGUCAUAAAGUGUGUUGAUGGAGCAAAUACUUCACCGCAUCCUUUUCCAAAGGGGAAAUCGUUUACUGAAUGCAAUGUUCUUUGGUUGUUUUUCAGAUCUAUGAGAUAAAAACCUCCCAAUAAAAAUGAGGUUUGUUUUUGUGGGUUCGUAUGACAUUUUCUGAAUUUUUUUUAAAUUUUGUGCAACAUGUUAGGAAGAAGCUAUCAGAUGUUAAAUCAAGCUCACGGCUGCGUGUUCAAUACCCCUUUUCCUGUGUGAUUCCAGUGAAAAACCAAUGUUGCCCUUGCUGAUUUCAGUCAUUAAAGAGUGUCAUCACUUUAAAAUAAAUUACGCACCACCAAACAAUUUUAAUAUGGUUUUAUGUAGCUGUAUUACGCAGAAAGGUGUAGAUUUAUUCCAAAAUGCCCCAUAACCCACCAAACCAAACACAAACUUAUGUAAACACAGCAUGCGUAAACAGCCUGACCUAUUUGUCAUUCCAGGUUUGAAUGACUCCUUUCUCCAUCCUCCUCCUCAGAGGUAUUCCCUCGUUCUGGACCAAUGCUUCCUGCAGACCAUUGACUGCAUCCAGAAACCAAAGCAAACAGAGGAGCCGUGAACGCAGAGGUUAAAGUUAGCCAUCAGUGCACCAGGGAUCUGUGAACUAAACUCAGGCCAGAAAACGUUUAACAGCAGACGAACUCUGCCUGAGGCAUCGAGCCGAUACUGUGCGCCUUUUCUUUUCUUUGUGUUCCUUUCGGCAAGAUGGCGUCGCUGGAUGGCGGCGUGGUUAGUCAUGCGCCGCACGCCAACCGCUUCUGAUGUGUUUUCUUGAUAUUCAGGGACCUGACAUUGUCCCGCACUAAGGUAGUGGGGACUUAAUAUAUUGUACAAAGCAAGGCUUUGUUGUAUCAAUUCAAUACAGUAAAAGCCACAUGACCUCGUGUAUGAAUCGAUGGACUGCAAAGAAACAACAAAACAAUCUUUCUGCUGAUGAAGGAAAGACUCAAUCAAUUAUGCUCAAUACAAUAAUACAAAAUGCGAGAACGUCUUAUGGUGAUGACCUUACUGGAA
Gasterosteus aculeatus aculeatus (three-spined stickleback) is the source of this 1372-nucleotide long non-coding RNA. Lineage: Eukaryota; Metazoa; Chordata; Actinopteri; Perciformes; Gasterosteidae. The record is from Ensembl.